RNAcentral lists this long non-coding RNA (203 nucleotides) under Elaeis guineensis (African oil palm). Its description in RNAcentral is "long non-coding RNA (EGUI_LNC010163)". The record is from RNAcentral. Lineage: Eukaryota; Viridiplantae; Streptophyta; Magnoliopsida; Arecales; Arecaceae.
ACUUGAUUGGUUCACAAACAUCAACCUUGAUGAGAUACCAAAUUUAAGUGAGGAGAAAAAAGGAAGGAACCCGUUUGGUCCAGGUGUCUCAUUAGGGCUCAUAUGACGAACUAUAGGUUUAAUCUCCUCCUUAGUAAUUGCUGUAAUAAGAGAAUCAUCCUAGAACGAAAUCAGCUUAACUAGUGGUUCCAACACUCAGUCAG